RNAcentral lists this ribosomal RNA (255 nucleotides) under uncultured bacterium. RNAcentral's name for it is "partial 16S ribosomal RNA". It matches the Rfam family "Bacterial small subunit ribosomal RNA", at positions 524 to 777 of the family's 1533-position model. The record is from RNAcentral.
GACGGAGGGUGCUAGCGUUGUUCGGAAUCACUGGGCGUAAAGGGCGCGUAGGCGGCCUUGCAAGUCGGUUGGUGAAAGCCCGGGGCUCAACCCCGGAGGUGCGGCCGAGACUGCAGGGCUGGAGGCCGGAAGAGGAGGGCGGAAUACCCAGUGUAGAGGUGAAAUUCGUAGAUAUUGGGUGGAACACCGGUGGCGAAAGCGGCUCUCUGGUCCGGACCUGACGCUGAGGCGCGAAAGCGUGGGGAGCAAACAGGG